RNAcentral lists this ribosomal RNA (465 nucleotides) under Vreelandella stevensii. RNAcentral describes it as "partial 16S ribosomal RNA". It matches the Rfam family "Bacterial small subunit ribosomal RNA", at positions 338 to 795 of the family's 1533-position model. Lineage: Bacteria; Pseudomonadati; Pseudomonadota; Gammaproteobacteria; Oceanospirillales; Halomonadaceae. The record is from RNAcentral.
ACUACGGGCGGCAGCAGUGGGGAAUAUUGGACAAUGGGCGAAAGCCUGAUCCAGCCAUGCCGCGUGUGUGAAGAAGGCCUUCGGGUUGUAAAGCACUUUCAGUGGGGAAGAAAGCCUUGGGGCUAAUACCCUCGAGGAAGGACAUCACCCACAGAAGAAGCACCGGCUAACUCCAUGCCAGCAGCCGCGGUAAUACGGAGGGUGCGAGCGUUAAUCGGAAUUACUGGGCGUAAAGCGCGCGUAGGCGGUCUGAUAAGCCGGUUGUGAAAGCCCCGGGCUCAACCUGGGAACGGCAUCCGGAACUGUCAGGCUAGAGUGCAGGAGAGGAAGGUAGAAUUCCCGGUGUAGCGGUGAAAUGCGUAGAGAUCGGGAGGAAUACCAGUGGCGAAGGCGGCCUUCUGGACUGACACUGACGCUGAGGUGCGAAAGCGUGGGUAGCAAACAGGAUUAGAUACCCUAGUAGUC